AAGGAUCAUUACAGUAUAAUGGAGGUGCGAUGGCUGUUGCUGACCCUUCAAAGGUCGUGCACGCUUGAGCUCUCUCUCACACACAUCCACCUCACCCUUUGUGCAUUGCCGCGUGGGUCCUCCUUGUAGGGGGGCUUGCGUUUUUCACAUAAAACUAGAUGUGGUAUAGAAUGUCUUUUAUUUUUGCGGUUACACGCAAUCAAUAUAACUUUCAACAACGGAUCUCUUGGCUCUCGCAUCGAUGAAGAACGCAGCGAAAUGCGAUACGUAAUGUGAAUUGCAGAAUUCAGUGAAUCAUCGAAUCUUUGAACGCACCUUGCGCCCCUUGGCAUUCCGAGGGGCACACCCGUUUGAGUGUCGUGAAAUCCUCAAAACCCUUGUUCUUCGAUUGGAGAAAAAGGGUUUUGGACUUGGAGGAUCAAUGCUUGCUCUUACUUUUGAAGGCAAGCUCCUCUCAAAUAAAUUAGUGAGGUUCGCUUUGCUGAUCCUUAACGGUGAUAAGACAUCUCUACGUUUUGGAUUUGGUGACUGUCCCUUGCUUCUAACUGUCCUAUGGACGAUGAUGGGUGCCCCGGUCACCACCUUACAUUGGUGGGAGGCUGGACCCACAAAAAGGACCUUGA
Molecule: ribosomal RNA, 623 nt
Filed under: Russula sp. r-03045
Lineage: Eukaryota; Fungi; Basidiomycota; Agaricomycetes; Russulales; Russulaceae
Description: eukaryotic LSU rRNA
Rfam family: 5.8S ribosomal RNA (bases 207-360)
Source: RNAcentral